Pongo pygmaeus (Bornean orangutan) is the source of this 437-nucleotide long non-coding RNA. RefSeq lists it as uncharacterized. The transcript is spliced from 2 exons. NCBI's taxonomy places the organism in Eukaryota, Metazoa, Chordata, Mammalia, Primates, Hominidae. The record is from RefSeq and is a predicted model, not a curated record.
GGGCGCGGGCGCGGGCGCGGGGUGGGUUGGGGGCGCGGAUCAGCGGGACGGAGCUCGGUGUUCGGCUCCGAGCGGGUGGGCUGGAAGUGGGGGAUCCCUCAGCCGCCUCCACGGGCCGGCCCCGCGCUCACGUCGGUUCCGGGGCGGAUGACCCCUCUCCAAACGGCGCAGCACUGCGGCUCUCUCGUCUCUGCCUUGAAUCUUGGAAACAAGUGCUUUCAACAUAAGCAAUGCGAAGGCAUUAAAACAUGUUGAAUGGCUGUGUGCACAGGAUAUCCUACACCUGCCUGACAUCUGGAAUGCAGGUGAAUCAACCUGACCUGAUGGAGCCACCCACACUUUAGAAGAAUCUCAACUACAGCCAACCCUGAUCUUCCUCAGUUGAAAAUCAUCCAUCUACCAAACUCACAAAUUAAACAUGAUUUUUAUGAUAUUUA